UCAUCAUCAUCUCCACUACGGAUGCACAUGCAAGAGGAGGAGAUGGCCCGACUGCAUGGAAUACAGGCUAGCAUCAAAUAACCUAGCAUUAGAUAACGACAG
Molecule: long non-coding RNA, 102 nt
Organism: Etheostoma spectabile (orangethroat darter)
Lineage: Eukaryota; Metazoa; Chordata; Actinopteri; Perciformes; Percidae
Exons: 4
Source: RefSeq, a predicted model, not a curated record